AAUGUGGCGUAAUGGGAGCGCACUGGUCUCAUAAUCCAGAGGAGUAGGAUCGAAACCUAUCAUUGC
This 66-nucleotide transfer RNA is filed under the name Vannella robusta. RNAcentral describes it as "Vannella sp. CB-2014 tRNA". It matches the Rfam family "tRNA". Rfam says of the family: Transfer RNA (tRNA) molecules are approximately 80 nucleotides in length. Their secondary structure includes four short double-helical elements and three loops (D, anti-codon, and T loops). Further hydrogen bonds mediate the characteristic L-shaped molecular structure. tRNAs have two regions of fundamental functional importance: the anti-codon, which is responsible for specific mRNA codon recognition, and the 3' end, to which the tRNAs corresponding amino acid is attached (by aminoacyl-tRNA synthetases). tRNAs cope with the degeneracy of the genetic code in two manners: having more than one tRNA (with a specific anti-codon) for a particular amino acid; and 'wobble' base-pairing, i.e. permitting non-standard base-pairing at the 3rd anti-codon position. The record is from RNAcentral. Lineage: Eukaryota; Discosea; Flabellinia; Vannellidae.